GCGGGUAUGGCGGAACUGGUAGACGCGUCGCUCUCAAAAAGCGAUUCUUUACGGAAUGCCGGUUCGAUUCCGGCUACCCGCACCA
RNAcentral lists this transfer RNA (85 nucleotides) under Cytophagaceae bacterium. RNAcentral's name for it is "tRNA-Leu". It matches the Rfam family "tRNA". From Rfam's summary of the family: Transfer RNA (tRNA) molecules are approximately 80 nucleotides in length. The record is from RNAcentral. Lineage: Bacteria; Pseudomonadati; Bacteroidota; Cytophagia; Cytophagales; Cytophagaceae.